Talpa occidentalis (Iberian mole) is the source of this 1756-nucleotide long non-coding RNA. RefSeq lists it as uncharacterized. Lineage: Eukaryota; Metazoa; Chordata; Mammalia; Eulipotyphla; Talpidae. The record is from RefSeq and is a predicted model, not a curated record. The transcript has 3 exons.
UCAUCGCUAUGAUCGGGCGCCUCCAGGGCGCAGGCGGGUGGCUGUGCGCUGUCGCUGUCCUCACCCCCACUCCUCCCCGGAAACCCAAGACAAACCAAAGCAACAGCUGAGCAUGCCUUGGGCCUGGGUGCUGAGAGGAGCUUCAACAAUAGAAUGCCAGAGGGCAGACAAUGGCCUCUCUGUCGGUGCAGCUGUCCCCGCCAAACAAGCAGCUGACCCAGCGUAGCCAGGAGUGGGGCAGCUGGCAUCUCCGCGGCUCCUGGAGGGCGCGGUGAAGGGGAAGAGCACACAUUCAAGCAGGGCCCUCCAGGGUUUGUUCAUUUGUGUCCUGUGUGACUGAGGAGGGAGGUGGUCUGAGGAACCCCAGGGGCUUGGGAACACCUUCAGACCACACCAGACUGGACCCCUAUGCACACCCUCACCUGUGGGAGAAAUGUUCUUCAUACUGAGGGUGUGUGUUGUGUGUCGGGGGUGGGGGGAAUCUCUGUUACAGCAUCUGGGCCUGUCUGCUCACUAAGACUAUGCACAGGGGCCUCUGAAUGAAGACAGCAGGCAAGAUCUGGAAGCCUUUGUCGAGCUCACAGUUUAGUGGGAAAACUAAACCUUCAACUAGGAAACAAUCUUAACUACAAAAUGUGGCAAAUGAUGCAAAAGGCACAGCCUGAGGUGGCGGGAGAGAAUGAUGUUUAGAUGCUGCUCAGGAAGGCCCCUACAAAGAGGGCUCUGUCAAUGUGAUUUUAGUGCCAGUUUCUUUGCUCUUACAACCAGAGAUCUUCGGUGCAUCUGAAUGAGUCAUAGAGUCAGUUAGAAACAGAAGCCCUGGGUCAAAGGCCAGCCCAGGUACGUCCUCAUGGCGGUGGCAAGAGGCCAAGUUAAAAUGAGCAAGGGUUUUUGCAAGCUUCUGCUUGUAUGAAGUCUCCCUCCGUUCCAUUUGCCUAAGUCAGUCCAGCCAGCUUGAGACAACACUACCAAAGGCCGUGAAUAUUGGGGAGCAAGAAAAAUCGGGACCAUUAUUUUAGUGUACGUCAAGCUUCACCCUCAGCAGAUGGGAAUGUGUUCUCCACAGCAACCAGCAAGGGCCACUCCCAGGCCCAGAUGGCACAAGGUGACAUCUCAGUGGAGGCUGCCGACCUGGCCCCAACAAAUGACUUGGCACGACAUUUAAUUCCCCUGGAAAGUGGGUGCACCCUGGGGAUAGGAAGAGGAGAAUCAUCAAAUUGCUACCCUAGAGGAUUGGGGUCUGAACACAGAAAUUAAGUUGGAAGGUGACAAAGAAAGUUACCAUUCUUGCACUCCUGAGUUAAUAGGCUAGAAUUUGAAUCCACUGCAAAUGGGAGAAUCAUUCGUCUCCAGUGGAAGGGGGAGAGGGCAAUAAAACCGGAACGCUGUGAAAAUGUUUCCCUGUUGAAGGGAAAGAAUCCUCCCACUCUCUUGGAAUCACCCAUUUGGGGGCGAGCAUAGGGUCCUUUAAUUAAGGGUCCUUAGGUAUCAACCAGCAUAAUGUCCGUAUUUCCUAGCCCAGGAAACAGGAGCUCGGGGAGGUUAAAUGACUUGUUUGAACCCCACUGUGAGCUAAUGCAGGCAGCGAGAACCUGAGCCUGUGCUUCUCCACUGCACUGGGCUGCUGCUGGGGUUUGCUGCAAACAGUCAAAUUGCUUCUUAAUUGGAGUCUCCUGCUUAAUUAGCUGCUUCCUGAGCAGCCUGUGCUCCCUGUUCGGAAAUCUCAAUCAACACCAUCUUCUCUAAAUUGGUGUGA